This 253-nucleotide ribosomal RNA is filed under the name uncultured bacterium. RNAcentral's name for it is "partial 16S ribosomal RNA". It matches the Rfam family "Bacterial small subunit ribosomal RNA", at positions 524 to 776 of the family's 1533-position model. The record is from RNAcentral.
UACGGAGGGUGCGAGCGUUAAUCGGAAUUACUGGGCGUAAAGCGCACGUAGGCGGACAGUUAAGUCAGAUGUGAAAUCCCAGAGCUUAACUUUGGAACUGCAUUUGAUACUGGUUGUCUAGAGUAUUGUAGAGGUAGGUAGAAUUCCAUGUGUAGCGGUGAAAUGCGUAGAGAUGUGGAGGAAUACCGGUGGCGAAGGCGGCCUACUGGACAAUGACUGACGCUGAGGUGCGAAAGCGUGGGGAGCAAACAGG